GGAUCAAAGACAGAGGAAGUUUGGGACUGCCCAUAUUACAAAGCCUAAGUGCCUUCAUUGUACUGUACUUCAUCAGCAGCACCAGAGACCUCAGAGUAUAAACGAGUCAGAUGUGUUCUCCAAGGAGCUUGCUGCAAUCUAAUUUCAGACAUGACACAAGAUAGGGAGUUACAAAACUGAAGGGAAGAGUUGCAAGAGGAAGGACAGAGUGAAAGCACUAAGAUUACGUGGUUACUCAACAAAGGUUAAACAACAGUUGACACCUUGUGAAAAAGAUUGAAAAACAACCUACUGAGAAAUGCUGCAGUCUACAUAUCUGGUAUUUAUCUUCCUCUGUGUUUCUCUUUACUAGUAUGAGUGAUAUUAACCUGGAAAUGGAUCUUGUUUCUUUAGAGUUUAACUGUGGAUACCUCACCUGAAUCUGCAACAAACAAAACCCCCACUCCAGUGUAUUCUGCAACAAAGAUCCAAAAUGCUACAGCUUCAAAUAGUAUUACUGCAGGGUCUGGGACAAUUACUGUAGAAUACAGCACUAUGUUCUAAAACGGGGAUCCAUAGUUGCCCAUAUAUUCUGUUGAAACCAGUGGGAGUUCUGCCUGCAUGAGGCUUGCAGGAUGGGGCUCUCUAUGAUCCUUAUGGAAAUCAUACAUUGAAACCAAAAAGUUCUUUUGGAGCUAAACCUUAAUCCCUUUGCUCUUGUAAGCAGUAGUCACCAAAGACACUUCAAUGAGAUUACUGGCAUGAGUAAGGAUAGCAGAAUUUGGACCCUGAUGAUUAUUAGUCAUUAGCAAAGCAAAUGGGACACUGAUUUCCAGGCUCUCACUGAGCUCUUGUACUGCUAUGUCCUUAAUUUACAAGAAGGCAGCAGCUUCCACUAUGCUCGGAAAUACCAAAUGUGAUUUCAAGUUAUAAAUAAAACUG
This is a long non-coding RNA of Trachemys scripta elegans, 921 nucleotides long. RefSeq lists it as uncharacterized. NCBI's taxonomy places the organism in Eukaryota, Metazoa, Chordata, Testudines, Emydidae. The record is from RefSeq and is a predicted model, not a curated record. The transcript has 3 exons.